AAUGUUAUGAAUUUUGUUGCUUCUCGA
RNAcentral lists this non-coding RNA (27 nucleotides) under Bombyx mori (domestic silkworm). Lineage: Eukaryota; Metazoa; Arthropoda; Insecta; Lepidoptera; Bombycidae. The record is from RNAcentral.